RNAcentral lists this ribosomal RNA (525 nucleotides) under uncultured Roseibacillus sp. RNAcentral describes it as "bacterial SSU rRNA". It matches the Rfam family "Bacterial small subunit ribosomal RNA", at positions 75 to 601 of the family's 1533-position model. The record is from RNAcentral. Lineage: Bacteria; Pseudomonadati; Verrucomicrobiota; Verrucomicrobiia; Verrucomicrobiales; Verrucomicrobiaceae.
GCUUGCUAAUGAAAUUCUUAGUGGCGGACGGGUUAGUAACACGUGAGAAUCCUACCCUUAAGUGGGGAAUAGCCUUUCGAAAGGAAGAUUAAUGCCCCAUGGUCUCUACGGAGUAAAGAUGCCUUCGGGUGUCGCUUAAGGAUGGGCUCGCGGCCUAUCAGCUAGUUGGUGAGGUAAGAGCUCACCAAGGCAACGACGGGUAGCUGGUCUGAGAGGACGAUCAGCAACACUGGAACUGAGACACGGUCCAGACACCUACGGGUGGCAGCAGUCGAGAAUCAUUCACAAUGGACGAAAGUCUGAUGGUGCAACGCCGCGUGGAGGAUGACGGCCCUAGGGUUGUAAACUCCUGUCAUCAGGGAGUAAGACUUAUUCGUUAAUAGCGUGUAAGUUUGAUAGUACCUGAAGAGGAAGGGACGGCUAACUUCGUGCCAGCAGCCGCGGUAAUACGAAGGUCCCAAGCGUUGUUCGGAAUAACUGGGCGUAAAGCGUGUGUAGGCCGCGCGGAAAGUCGGAUGUGAAAGC